Capra hircus (goat) is the source of this 104-nucleotide small nuclear RNA. The record is from Ensembl. Lineage: Eukaryota; Metazoa; Chordata; Mammalia; Artiodactyla; Bovidae.
GAGCUUACCUCUAUAGCACAUGUACUAAAAUCAAAACAAUACAGAGAUUAGCAUGGCCCCUGCGCAAGGAUGUCAUGCAAAUUUGUGAAGCAUUCAUAUUUUAA